RNAcentral lists this ribosomal RNA (367 nucleotides) under uncultured bacterium. RNAcentral's name for it is "bacterial SSU rRNA". It matches the Rfam family "Bacterial small subunit ribosomal RNA", at positions 527 to 896 of the family's 1533-position model. The record is from RNAcentral.
GGAGGGUGCAAGCGUUAUCCGGAUUUACUGGGUUUAAAGGGUGUGUAGGCGGGCUAUUAAGUCAGUGGUGAAAUCUCCGAGCUUAACUUGGAAACUGCCAUUGAUACUAUUAGUCUUGAAUUUUGUUGAGGUAGGCGGAAUAAGUCAUGUAGCGGUGAAAUGCUUAGAUAUGACUUAGAACACCAAUUGCGAAGGCAGCUUGCUAAACAAACAUUGACGCUGAGGCACGAAAGCGUGGGGAUCAAACAGGAUUAGAUACCCUGGUAGUCCACGCCCUAAACGAUGAUUACUCGACAUACGCGAUACACAGUGUGUGUCUGAGCGAAAGCAUUAAGUAAUCCACCUGGGAAGUACGACCGCAAGGUUG